AUGAACGCUAGCGACAGGCUUAACACAUGCGAGUCGAGGGGCAGCACAGGUAGCAAUACCGGGUGGCGACCGGCGCACGGGUGAGUAACGCGUAUGCAACUUACCUAUCAGAGGGGGAUAACCCGGCGAAAGUCGGACUAAUACCGCAUGAAGCAGGGGCCCCGCAUGGGGAUAUUUGCUAAAGAUUCAUCGCUGAUAGAUAGGCAUGCGUUCCAUUAGGCAGUUGGCGGGGUAACGGCCCACCAAACCGACGAUGGAUAGGGGUUCUGAGAGGAAGGUCCCCCACAUUGGUACUGAGACACGGACCAAACUCCUACGGGAGGCAGCAGUGAGGAAUAUUGGUCAAUGGCCGAGAGGCUGAACCAGCCAAGUCGCGUGAGGGAUGAAGGUUCUAUGGAUCGUAAACCUCUUUUAUAAGGGAAUAAAGUGCGGGACGUGUCCCGUUUUGUAUGUACCUUAUGAAUAAGGAUCGGCUAACUCCGUGCCAGCAGCCGCGGUAAUACGGAGGAUCCGAGCGUUAUCCGGAUUUAUUGGGUUUAAAGGGUGCGUAGGCGGCCUUUUAAGUCCAGCGGUGAAAGUCUGUGGCUCAACCAUAGAAUUGCCGUUGAAACUGGGGGGCUUGAGUAUGUUUGAGGCAGGCGGAAUGCGUGGUGUAGCGGUGAAAUGCAUAGAUAUCCCGCAGAACCCCCGAUUGCGAAGGGCAGCCUGCCCAGCCAUUACUGACGCUGAUGCACAAAAGCCUGGGGAUCAAACAGGAUUUAGAUACCCCUGGUAGGUCCAGGCAGUAAACGAGGAUCACUAGCUGUUUGCGAUACACUGUAAGGGGCACAGCGAAAGCGUUAAGUGAUCCACCUGGGGAGUACGCCGGCAACGGUGAAACUCAAAGGGAAUUGACGGGGGGCCCGCACAAGCGGAGGAACAUGUGGUUUAAUUCGAUGAUACGCGAGGAACCUUACCCGGGUUUGAACGCAUUCGGACCGAGGUGGAAACACCUUUUCUAGCAAUAGCCGUUUGCGAGGUGCUGCAUGGUUGUCGUCAGCUCGUGCCGUGAGGUGUCGGCUUAAGUGCCAUAACGAGCGCAACCCUUGCCACUAGUUACUAACAGGUAAAGCUGAGGACUCUGGUGGGACUGCCAGCGUAAGCUGCGAGGAAGGCGGGGAUGACGUCAAAUCAGCACGGCCCUUACAUCCGGGGCGACACACGUGUUACAAUGGCGUGGACAAAGGGAAGCCACCUGGCGACAGGGAACGAAUCCCCAAACCACGUCUCAGUUCGGAUCGGAGUCUGCAACCCGACUCCGUGAAGCUGGAUUCGCUAGUAAUCGCGCAUCAGCCAUGGCGCGGUGAAUACGUCCCCGGGCCUUGUACACACCGCCCGUCAAGCCAUGGGAGCCGGGGGUACCUGAAGUCCGUAACCGCGAGGAUCGGCCUAGGGUAAAACUGGUGACUGGGGC
Molecule: ribosomal RNA, 1453 nt
Filed under: uncultured organism
Description: 16S ribosomal RNA
Rfam family: Bacterial small subunit ribosomal RNA
Source: RNAcentral